RNAcentral lists this ribosomal RNA (460 nucleotides) under uncultured bacterium. RNAcentral describes it as "partial 16S ribosomal RNA". It matches the Rfam family "Bacterial small subunit ribosomal RNA", at positions 338 to 795 of the family's 1533-position model. The record is from RNAcentral.
UCUACGGGAGGCAGCAGUGAGGAAUAUUGGUCAAUGGGCGCGAGCCCGAACCAGCCAAGUAGCGUGAAGGAUGACUGCCCUACGGGUUGUAAACUUCUUUUAUAAAGGAAUAAAGUGAGGCACGUGUGCCUUUUUGUAUGUACUUUAUGAAUAAGGAUCGGCUAACUCCGUGCCAGCAGCCGCGGUAAUACGGAGGAUCCGAGCGUUAUCCGGAUUUAUUGGGUUUAAAGGGAGCGUAGAUGGGUUGUUAAGUUAGGUGUGAAAGUCUGGGGCUCAACCGUAAAAGUGAAUUUGAUACUGGCAGCCUUGAGUGCAGUUGAGGUAGGCGGAAUUCGUGGUGUAGCGGUGAAAUGCUUAGAUAUCACGAAGAACUCCGAUUGCGAAGGCAGCUUACUAAACUGCCACUGACAUUGAUGCUCGAAAGUGUGGGUAUCAAACAGGAUUAGAUACCCUAGUAGUC